RNAcentral lists this long non-coding RNA (891 nucleotides) under Ovis aries (sheep). Its description in RNAcentral is "lncRNA (ENSOARG00000026203.1)". The record is from RNAcentral. Lineage: Eukaryota; Metazoa; Chordata; Mammalia; Artiodactyla; Bovidae.
AGGGCUUCCUAUGUCAUCUGUCAUAAUCCUUACCCCAUGAGAAGGUUAGUUAGUGGCAGAACUGGGAUUUGAAUCCACAUCUGAAUGACUACAGAGCCUGUGCUCUUUGUGUUAGAUCAUAGAGGAAUGGGGAAUGUUAUAAUUCUUUUAUUAAAUUUGACUCAUUAUUCUUAAAGUUCUUAUUUUCUUCUCCAGAAUGUCCUGAAACCAAACUUAACGAAGCUAAUGAAUGCUUCUCAGCAAUCCAAGAGAAGCAGUAAGUUAUCUAAGACUGUCCUCCUGGUUUUAUUCACUGAUUUGAAAUUACAGAUGUUCUCAUGUACUCUCCCUUGUUUUCACUGUAGUAGAAGCAAAAUGUAGCAUUAUGAGACCAGAGAGUACAACCUUCUCUGAGGACAAUAAUUCUGAUGGUGAAAUUGAAGAUGUGGUUGAAACCAUUCCUGAACCAUCACCUGGAGUCCAGGGCUUCUCUCAUGCUUCCUUCCCAUCGCCUGAGCCUCUUCCACAACCUCUCAAGUCUCUCGCGGGUCUUGGUCUCACAAAGGAAGGAGCCACAAAGCCAGAGAUUGUAGACAAAGAAAGUGAUACAGAUAUUAUUGAAAGGGCUCCCCAAGAGCAAAUAAAUCAUGACCAUUUGAGUUCUGUUGAUGGAACGCACAAAAAUAAUAGAAGUGGUAAGUUCGUGAAUGUCUGUGGAUUUUUUUCUAUGCUUAAAAGCUCAGAUAAAAAAGUGUAUAGAUGCAAAUAUGGCAUUCAUUUCUUUUUAAGUGUGUUUCUUUUGCUCUCUUCUUCAGAAGUGUCCCAAGUACUACCAACUUUUUCUUCCUGAAAAUGCUUCAACCCUCUGAAAUUCUUUUCCACUAGUUCAUUUUAUUGAACUAUUUGUGGAUA